CCUACGGGUGGCUGCAGUGGGGAAUAUUGGACAAUGGGGGAAACCCUGAUCCAGCAAUGCCGCGUGUGUGAAGAAGGCCUUCGGGUUGUAAAGCACUUUCGGUUGGGAAGAAAAGUUUGGCGCCAAUACCGCCGAACCUUGACGUUACUGACAGAAGAAGCACCGGCUAACUCUGUGCCAGCAGCCGCGGUAAUACAGAGGGUGCAAGCGGUAAUCGGAAUCACGGAGCGUAAAGCGUGCGUAGGUUGUGAAAGCCCCCGGCUUAACCUGGGAACUGCAUUCGAUACUGCAUGGCUAGAGUAUGGUAGAGGGAAGUGGAAUUUCCGGUGUAGCGGUGAAAUGCGUAGAGAUCGGAAGGAACACCAAUGGCGAAGGCAGCUUUCUGGACUAAUACUGACACUGAGGCACGAAAGCGUGGGUAGCAAACAGGAUUAGAUACCCUAGUAGUC
This 449-nucleotide ribosomal RNA is filed under the name uncultured bacterium. RNAcentral describes it as "partial 16S ribosomal RNA". It matches the Rfam family "Bacterial small subunit ribosomal RNA", at positions 338 to 795 of the family's 1533-position model. The record is from RNAcentral.